CCUACGGGAGGCAGCAGUGAGGACUAUUCCACAAUGGGCGGAAGCCUGAACCAGCCAAGUAGCGUGCAUGAUGACGGCCCUACGGGUUGUAAACUGCUUUUAUACGGGAAUAACGCGCCUUCCGUGUAGGUCUUUGCAUGUACCGUAUGAAUCCGGACCGGCUAAUUCCGUGCCAGCAGCCGCGGUAAUACGGAAGGUACGUGCGUUAUCCGGAUUUAUUGGGUUUAAAGUGAGGGUAGGCCGCAUGUCAAGCGUGCUGGGAAAUGUACGGGCUCAACCCGGGCCUUGAAGCGCGACCGGGGGUGCUUGAGUGCGCGGAAGGCAGGCGGAACUCGUUGUGUAGCGGUGAAAUGCGUAGAUAUGACGAAGAACCCCGAUUGCGAAGGCAGCUGGCUGCAGCGGAACUGACGCUGAUGCUCGAAAGCGCGGGUAUCGAACAGGAUUAGAUACCCCUGUAGUC
This 460-nucleotide ribosomal RNA is filed under the name uncultured bacterium. RNAcentral's name for it is "partial 16S ribosomal RNA". It matches the Rfam family "Bacterial small subunit ribosomal RNA", at positions 338 to 795 of the family's 1533-position model. The record is from RNAcentral.